This is a long non-coding RNA of Lineus longissimus, 681 nucleotides long. RefSeq lists it as uncharacterized. Lineage: Eukaryota; Metazoa; Nemertea; Pilidiophora; Heteronemertea; Lineidae. The record is from RefSeq and is a predicted model, not a curated record. The transcript has 2 exons.
CGUGUCAGGUCGCUAUAAAAGGUAAGUCUCGGGAAACUACUGCCGUACAGCUUCAUCGAACGACAAAACUAAAGAAAUGGCACGAGUCGCAAUCAUUGCUUUGUUGUUGUUAGUCGUCAUUGUGAGCACAAUGGCUGCAGACGAGAAGUUCGAGCAGCAUUCCGCUCUUAAACGGGACCUCGACAGAUUUAUCCGUCGUCGUAAGCCAACAUGUUACUGGCACGUAACCAAGGAGGGCUACCGCAGACGUCACUGCAUAGGGCGGCAAUAACCGCACUACCACGGCCCCAUACGGUCACCAAGGACGCCAAUGGUGAUGCAAACAAAGGGGGGGGGAGCUCAGCUCUACAUCUGAUUGGUUUAUCUUCAAACAAGACACUUUAGUUCAUCCAAAAGAUGCAUUAACCUGACUCACGAAUGCACGAUCGAUCCCACGGUCAGUGCAUCCCAAAUGCACUGAAGUCAACGAUUGAUUCAAAUUACAACUCAAGCACACGUGGACUAGGUUGUCUCUGCAACGAUUGUUUUGAUAUCAAGUGAUUUGUUUGGAGAUUUUGCAUCACAGACGAGAUGUAUCGACCGACACCAGAAUUCGUAGAAGACUUCAGAUUAUUUCCGUAAUCAUAUCUGUAGCUAUCUGAAUCCCAGAGCUAAACAAUAAAAUGGUUCAAUCAGAAGCAA